UCUGGAGUAGACGAAUUGGUAAAGUCAUGAAUUUUUGGUAUUCAGAUUUGGGUGUUCGAAUCGCCCUUCCGGAA
RNAcentral lists this transfer RNA (74 nucleotides) under Golovinomyces cichoracearum. It matches the Rfam family "tRNA". From Rfam's summary of the family: Transfer RNA (tRNA) molecules are approximately 80 nucleotides in length. Their secondary structure includes four short double-helical elements and three loops (D, anti-codon, and T loops). The record is from Rfam by way of RNAcentral. Lineage: Eukaryota; Fungi; Ascomycota; Leotiomycetes; Helotiales; Erysiphaceae. RNAcentral also lists the same sequence under 4 other names.